CCUACGGGAGGCAGCAGUGGGGGAUAUUGCACAAUGGGGGGAACCCUGAUGCAGCGACGCCGCGUGGGUGAAGAAGCGCCUCGGCGCGUAAAGCCCUGUCAGCAGGGAAGAAAAUGACGGUACCUGAAGAAGAAGCCCCGGCUAACUACGUGCCAGCAGCCGCGGUAAUACGUAGGGGGCAAGCGUUAUCCGGAUUUACUGGGUGUAAAGGGGGCGCAGACGGCGAUGCAAGCCAGGAGUGAAAGCCCGGGGCCCAACCCCGGGACUGCUCUUGGAACUGCGUGGCUGGAGUGCAGGAGGGGCAGGCGGAAUUCCUGGUGUAGCGGUGGAAUGCGUAGAUAUCAGGAGGAACACCGGUGGCGAAGGAGGCCUGCUGGACUGCAACUGACGUUGAGGCCCGAAAGCGUGGGGAGCAAACAGGAUUAGAUACCCUGGUAGUC
This 440-nucleotide ribosomal RNA is filed under the name uncultured bacterium. RNAcentral's name for it is "partial 16S ribosomal RNA". It matches the Rfam family "Bacterial small subunit ribosomal RNA", at positions 338 to 795 of the family's 1533-position model. The record is from RNAcentral.